UGACCUGCGGAGGAUCAUUAAAGGGUGUAAGGGUCUGCCAGGCCCGACCUCCAACCCUAUGUGUACUUUACCUUUGUUGCUUUGGCGGGCCCGAUGGGGAAACUCACCGGCGGCCACGGGCUGUCGAGUGCCCGCCAAAGACCCAUCGAACCCGGUCAACCGUGCAGUCUGAGUACCAAUCUAAUCGUUAAAACUUUCAACAACGGAUCUCUUGGUUCUGGCAUCGAUGAAGAACGCAGCGAAAUGCGAUAAGUAAUGUGAAUUGCAGAAUUCAGUGAAUCAUCGAAUCUUUGAACGCACAUUGCGCCCUUUGGUAUUCCGAGGGGCAUGCCUGUCCGAGCGUCAUUACACCACUCAAGCCCGGCUUGGUGUUGGGUCCUCGUCCCUGUGGACAUGCCCGGAAAUCAGUGGCGGCACAGCCCGGCUUCAAGCAGCAUUAGUUGAUCUCUCGCUUUGGAAGCUCGGGCUUGGUCCGGCCAGACAACCCCCAAAUUUCUUAGAGGUUGACCUCGGAUCAGGUAGGGAUACCCGCUGAACUUAAGCAUAUCAAUAAGCGGAGGAAAAGAAACCAACAGGGAUUGCCUCGGUAACGGCGAGUGAAGCGGCAACAGCUCAAAUUUGAAAUCUGGCUCUUUCAGGGUCCGAGUUGUAAUUUGUAGAGGAUGCUUCGGGUAUGGCUCCGUUCUAAGUUCCUUGGAACAGGACGUCGCAGAGGGUGAGAACCCCGUACGUGACCGGCCGCCACGCCCAUGUGAAGCUCCUUCGACGAGUCGAGUUGUUUGGGAAUGCAGCUCAAAAUGGGUGGUAAAUUUCAUCUAAAGCUAAAUAUUGGCCAGAGACCGAUAGCGCACAAGUAGAGUGAUCGAAAGAUGAAAAGCACUUUGGAAAGAGAGUUAAACAGUACGUGAAAUUGUUGAAAGGGAAGCGCUUGCAACCAGACUUGCCCGCGGGCGAUCAGCCGGUAUUUUUACCGGUGCACUCGCCCGCGGUCAGGCCAGCAUCGGCCUGGGCGGCUGGAUAAAGUCCCCCGGAAUGUAGCUCCUCUCGGGGAGUGUUAUAGCCGGGGGUGCAAUGCAGCCCGCCCGGACCGAGGACCGCGCUCCGGCUAG
This 1109-nucleotide small RNA is filed under the name Sarcogyne clavus. Its description in RNAcentral is "eukaryotic LSU rRNA". The stretch from base 505 to 1109 matches the Rfam family "Eukaryotic large subunit ribosomal RNA", at positions 1 to 609 of the family's 3401-position model. The record is from RNAcentral. Lineage: Eukaryota; Fungi; Ascomycota; Lecanoromycetes; Acarosporales; Acarosporaceae.